AACGAACGCUGGCGGCAUGCCUAACACAUGCAAGUCGAACGAGACCUUCGGGUCUAGUGGCGCACGGGUGCGUAACGCGUGGGAACGUGCCCUUCGGUUCGGAAUAACUCUCGGAAAGGGGUGGUAAUACCGGAUAAUGUCUUCGGAGCAAAGAUUUAUCGCAUUUGGAUGGGCCCGCGUUGGAUUAGGUAGUUGGUAGGGUAAAAGCCUACCAAGGCGACGAUCCAUAGCUGGUCUGAGAGGAUGAUCAGCCACACUGGGACUGAGACACGGCCCAGACUCCUACGGGAGGCAGCAGUGGGGAAUAUUAGACAAUGGGGGCAAGCCUGAUCCAGCAAUGCCGCGUGAGUGAUGAAGGCCUUAGGGUUGUAAAGCUCUUUUACCCGGGAAGAUAAUGACAGUACCGGGAGAAGAAGCUCCGGCUAACUCCGUG
This 433-nucleotide ribosomal RNA is filed under the name uncultured bacterium. RNAcentral's name for it is "partial 16S ribosomal RNA". It matches the Rfam family "Bacterial small subunit ribosomal RNA", at positions 29 to 507 of the family's 1533-position model. The record is from RNAcentral.